AGAGUUUGAUCCUGGCUCAGAACGAACGCUGGCGGCGUGGAUAAGACAUGCAAGUCGAACGAGAUUUUCUUUGGUAGCAAUACUGAAGAAAGUCUAGUGGCGAACGGGUGCGUAACACGUGGGCAAUCUGCCUUAAAGUGGGGGAUAGCUCGGCGAAAGCCGAAUUAAUACCGCAUGUGAUCAGGGGAGACAUCUUCCCGAAAUCAAAAGUGGCGCAAGCUACUGCUUUUUGAGGAGCCCGCGGCCUAUCAGCUAGUUGGUGAGGUAAUGGCUCACCAAGGCUCUGACGGGUAGCUGGUCUGAGAGGACGACCAGUCACACUGGAACUGAGACACGGUCCAGACACCUACGGGUGGCAGCAGUCGAGAAUUUUUCUCAAUGGGGGAAACCCUGAAGGAGCGACGCCGCGUGGAGGAUGAAGGUCUUCGGGUUGUAAACUCCUGUCAUUUGGGAACAAGUUGGACGCCGUAACUGCGCGUCCAUUGAUAGUACCAGAAGAGGAAGGGACGGCUAACUCUGUGCCAGCAGCCGCGGUAAUACAGAGGUCUCAAGCGUUGUUCGGAUUCAUUGGGCGUAAAGGGUGUGUAGGUGGCGCGCUAAGUCGGGUGUGAAAUUUCGGAGCUUAACUCCGAAACUGCAUUCGAUACUGGCGUGCUUGAGGACUGGAGAGGAGACUGGAAUUCAUGGUGUAGCAGUGAAAUGCGUAGAGAUCAUGAGGAAGACCAGUGGCGAAGGCGGGUCUCUGGACAGUUCCUGACACUGAGACACGAAGGCCAGGGGAGCAAACGGGAUUAGAUACCCUAGUAGUCC
Molecule: ribosomal RNA, 810 nt
Filed under: uncultured bacterium
Lineage: Bacteria
Description: bacterial SSU rRNA
Rfam family: Bacterial small subunit ribosomal RNA
Source: RNAcentral